UGAAAUUUAAAGCACACAUUCAGAGUACGUUGUGAAAAAACACGAGUGUCUCUUAGAAAAUACUGCUUUGCAUUUACUCAGUUGUAAAAAAAAUGACGAAAAGAUGACAAGAGUAAGAACCAUUACUUGUCUGCAACUCCUUCCAUUUAAGUCUCUGGACUCCAAAGUGUUGUUGUAAAACAUCCCUAUUUUUGUCUGGGUGACAGAGGUCGAACAGACAUCUACAACAAAGGUGCUGAAUCCAAAUGUCUACACGAUUGAGCUGAGCCACUGGGACUUCACAUGGAAAAUCAAACGCUGUUUCAAGCACUUCCAAGCUCUUCAUCAGGAGCUGCUGAUGUUCAAGGCUCCUCUAAAGCUCCCCCUGCCAACCUGCAUUUUCCUUUCAGCAAGAGAAGAAGAUGAAUCAUUUGUCUUAAAGUUGCUGUCUUUGAGUUUUCCUUCGGCUGUUCUGGACAACUGUAAGAAAUGUGAGAAAUGGCUGGUGGUGAAGGACUCUUUUGUUCUCUCCAUGAGGCCAAAGAACAACCAGGUGGGGAUGGUGAACCUCUGUGAUAGGGGCUUUCACAUCAAGAUGAGCACCCUGGAGACCGGGGUCCAUUAUGGAGUCACCAUCCUGAACCUCUGCAGGCAGGAAGCUCUUUUUUUAUCGCAUUUACAUUCUGCUGUGAUGGCAUAGCUAUACGUUUGUGCUGACUGCAGUCCUGAAAAGUACUUGUGUGGUGUUUUCUGUAUAUCUUGAUAUAAAGCCACAAAUGUCAAAUCCAUAUUGUACAGAGAUAACGCAUGCUCACUGCAUCAGGGUGUACUUACAGAGAUGUGCUGGACAUAAAAGAGCUGUAGUUGUGUGUAAAUAAAUGAAACUGGUUGAAAACUGCAGCCGGUAACCUUCUUAUUAGGGAGAAGAGAAAACUUGAAUCAGAAAAUAAGAUACUUAAAGGUAUUGAAUGUGACAAAAAAUAUUUGUAUCCUUUUAUCCUGAACCACCUCUGGAUAGAAGCCCUUGCAGCAAAACAAGCAAUAGCAAUAGCAAUUGUAUU
Molecule: RNA transcript, 1040 nt
Organism: Notolabrus celidotus (New Zealand spotty)
Lineage: Eukaryota; Metazoa; Chordata; Actinopteri; Labriformes; Labridae
Gene name: phospholipase D1
Exons: 5
Source: RefSeq, a predicted model, not a curated record